Molecule: unclassified non-coding RNA, 519 nt
Filed under: uncultured Glomus
Lineage: Eukaryota; Fungi; Glomeromycota; Glomeromycetes; Glomerales; Glomeraceae
Description: SSU rRNA
Rfam family: Eukaryotic small subunit ribosomal RNA
Source: RNAcentral
AGCAGCCGCGGUAAUUCCAGCUCCAAUAGCGUAUAUUAAAGUUGUUGCAGUUAAAAAGCUCGUAGUUGGAUUUCGGGAUCAAUAUGUUGGUCGUGCCUCGGUACGUACUAGCUUAUUGGUUUCUCCUUUCUGAAGAACCAUGAUGUCAUUUAUUUGGUGUCGUGGGGAAUCAGGACUGUUACUUUGAAAAAUUAGAGUGUUUAAAGCAGGCUCACGCUUGGAUACAUUAGCAUGGAAUAAUGAAAUAGGACGUUUGAUUCUAUUUUGUUGGUUUCUAGGAUCGACGUAAUGAUUAAUAGGGAUAGUUGGGGGCAUUAGUAUUCAAUUGUCAGAGGUGAAAUUCUUGGAUUUAUUGAAGACUAACUACUGCGAAAGCAUUUGCCAAGGAUGUUUUCAUUAAUCGAGAACGAAAGUUAGGGGAUCGAAGACGAUCAGAUACCGUCGUAGUCUUGACCAUAAACUAUGCCGACUAGGGAUCGGAUGAUGUUAAUUUUUUAAUGUACUCAUUUCGGCGUACCG